UACAGAGGGGGCAAGCGUUAUUCGGAAUUAUUGGGUGUAAAGGGCGCGUAGGCGGCCUGGCAAGUGGAAGGUGAAAUCCCUCGGCUUAACCGAGGAACUGCCCUCCAAACUGCUUGGCUUGAGUCCGGGAGAGGUGAGUGGAAUUCCCAGUGUAGCGGUGAAAUGCGUAGAUAUUGGGAGGAACACCAGUGGCGAAGGCGGCUCACUGGACCGGAACUGACGCUGAGGCGCGAAAGCUAGGGGAGCAAACGGG
RNAcentral lists this ribosomal RNA (253 nucleotides) under uncultured bacterium. RNAcentral's name for it is "partial 16S ribosomal RNA". It matches the Rfam family "Bacterial small subunit ribosomal RNA", at positions 524 to 776 of the family's 1533-position model. The record is from RNAcentral.